AUGGCUUUAACAAAGUCUGGGAACCUCAGGCAGGCUUUUAUGGGAUGGGAAGAAAAUGAAGAGACACGGAGGGAUGUGAACUCAGACUUGACAGGCAGGCAUAAAGACUGUUGCAGCCAGUUUUCAAACUCAGCCCCAAUUUCAAAACUGAAGACUGUUAUCCUGCUUCACACUGCCAAUGAGAGAAACAGAGCUAAAAUUAAAGAGAGAUUAAUCUAGCUGCAUUAAAGACACAAGCCAGAUUGGAGGCUGGGGUCAAGGGACUUGCCAUUGAAAUAAACAAGAGUGAGAUGAAUGUACAAGAUGAACCUGGAACAUCUUGUCACACCAGAAAGCAAGGAAACUAUCAAAGUGAACACAGGAGCCAAGCAGUUCCUACUGGCCAAGGACAAGGCAAUUCAGGCAUCAUUUAGGACAGUAACUGUCAGGGACUGACUGUAAGGGAUUAAGAGGCAUCGAAUAUGGUGAAGUCCAUGCCUUGAUAAUGAUGCUAAAAAAUUAUACUCCCAAUCGACCACUUUUGGAGGAUGUUAGAGAAACAACUCACUCUUUGGGAAACUGGUGUAACAAAAGAAUUGAAGAUUCGUUUUAUUUUUUUUCACAUGAAGUGUUACAUUUUGGAAGCAUUGCAGCUAAUAACAGAAAAAAAUUACGGGGUGAGAUCAUCACAGUUGGGCAGCCUCUAAUGAAUGAACAGAUCUGAGCGGUGAUCACUGAUGCCUCACAAAAAGAGCCUACCAGGUACCAUGUGCCUCCUGAUUGGAAAGAACAUAGCAUCUUUGAAGUUCCUUGGGGGAAAAAAAAUCAGACCCAAAUCAGAUUAAGUCUCUAAGCCUACAUGUCAAUAUAUAGGAAGUUAAAGGACAGAGAAGCAUAUUAGGUGGCAUUUGGGGAUACAGUCAGCAAACCCAUAGUGUAGGAUCAUUUGAUAAUAUUCAGAGCUUAAUGACAUUUUAAAAGGACAUCGUUGAUAAGUAUUAAGAAAACUGAUCUUUUGUAGAUAUAUUUGGGAGCAUUUAUGGAUAAAAUGAUGUUUGGAGUAAAGGUUAGAGAAAUGGGAGGAGGAUAUGGGUGAAGCAAGACUGUCCAGGAGUCAAAAAUUGUGGAAUUUAGGUAACAGAGUUUCAUUAAAUUGUUCUCUCUACUCCUGGAUAUGUUUAAAACUGCAUCAAGUGGAGUGACGCUGUUGAUGCAGAGAAAAUGGGAAAGCAGUGCCCAAAAGAGGUGUUUUCUUAGAAGGGAAAGGUUAAUGAAUCAGAGCUGGAUCCAGGGCACAAAGUAGAGGGAGGGGCAUGUGGCAUCUGAGCCUUAAAUUCCCCCACCGUGGGUAACUCCAGGAGUGUGGCCUGACAUGACCCAGGUUCCAGCAGAGCUAGGCCCUGACUGCAGAAAGCUUCAUUUCCCCAGGGGAGCUGAGAAAUGUUCUCAGCCCAACUGGGAAAAUUGUCUGCCAGUUCUUAAUGAUCUGCUCAGUAUUUCCAGCUGCAGUGUCACCUAUUCUGUGAAUCCUUCCAGAUCCCCCCAGGCAGAAGCUGGGUGCCCCGGGCACCUCUGCAGACUUCCUUUCCUGAUUGCAGCCCUUCCCCACUGCCACAUGUGCCCCUGGGGCAGACCCCUGCAGGAUCUGGUGUCCCUGCAUGGAGGCUGACUACUGAUGAUGAAACUCGUUCCCCUAGAAGAUUUUGGAAAGCCAGGAUACCUCCGAAGCUGUGUGCUACUGCUCCUGAGACCAAGUAGACUCCCUGGGAGCGCCAGUGUCUUGGACACAUUCCAACCUGUGUAAUUACAUUCUGCCUGUUAAAC
This is a long non-coding RNA of Heterocephalus glaber (naked mole-rat), 1803 nucleotides long. Lineage: Eukaryota; Metazoa; Chordata; Mammalia; Rodentia; Bathyergidae. The record is from Ensembl.